Molecule: non-coding RNA, 31 nt
Filed under: Rattus norvegicus (Norway rat)
Lineage: Eukaryota; Metazoa; Chordata; Mammalia; Rodentia; Muridae
Source: RNAcentral
UGCUGAAGUUCAAGCAAUAAUAUGGUGAGGU